RNAcentral lists this ribosomal RNA (494 nucleotides) under uncultured bacterium. RNAcentral's name for it is "partial 16S ribosomal RNA". It matches the Rfam family "Bacterial small subunit ribosomal RNA", at positions 28 to 507 of the family's 1533-position model. The record is from RNAcentral.
GACGAACGCUGGCGGCGUGCUUUAGGCAUGCAAGUCGAACGCGAACGCCCCUUCGGGGGUGCGUUGAGUGGCGAACGGGUGAGUAACACGUGGGUAACCUGCCCCUCGCAGGGGGAUAACCGGGGGAAACCCCGGCUAAUACCCCGUACGCUUGCUGGGGCGCAUGCUCCGGCAAGGAAAGGUAGCUUCGGCCAUCCGGCGAGGGAGGCGCCCGCGGCCCAUUGGCUAGUUGGGGGGGUAACGGCCCACCAAGGCGACGCUGGGUAGCUGGCCGAGGGGGGGGGGCAGCCCACUGGGACUUGGCAAACGGCCCGGACCCUUACGGGGGGCAGCGUCGGGGAAUCUUGCGCAAGGGGCGAAAGCCUGACGAAGCAACGCCGGGUGGGCGAUGAAGGCCUUCGGGUCGUAAAGCCCUGUUGUCGGGGACGAAGGGAGAAGGGUUAAUAGCCCCUGGCCUGACGGUACCCGACGAGGAAGCCCCGGCUAACUACGUG